Molecule: ribosomal RNA, 496 nt
Filed under: uncultured bacterium
Lineage: Bacteria
Description: partial 16S ribosomal RNA
Rfam family: Bacterial small subunit ribosomal RNA
Source: RNAcentral
GAUGAACGCUGGCGGCGUGCCUAAUACAUGCAAGUCGAGCGAACGGACGAGAAGCUUGCUUCUCUGAUGUUAGCGGCGGACGGGUGAGUAGCACGUGGAUAACCUACCUAUAAGACUGGGAUAACUUCGGGAAACCGGAGCUAAUACCGGAUAAUAUUUUGAACCGCAUGGUUCAAAAGUGAAAGACGGUCUUGCUGUCACUUAUAGAUGGAUCCGCGCUGCAUUAGCUAGUUGGUAAGGUAACGGCUUACCAAGGCAACGAUGCAUAGCCGACCUGAGAGGGUGAUCGGCCACACUGGACUGAGACACGGUCCAGACUCCUACGGGAGGCAGCAGUAGGGAAUCUUCCGCAAUGGGCGAAAGCCUGACGGAGCAACGCCGCGUGAGUGAUGAAGGUCUUCGGAUCGUAAAACUCUGUUAUUAGGGAAGAACAUAUGUGUAAGUAACUGUGCACAUCUUGACGGUACCUAAUCAGAAAGCCACGGCUAACUACGUG